Molecule: ribosomal RNA, 550 nt
Filed under: uncultured fungus
Lineage: Eukaryota; Fungi
Description: eukaryotic LSU rRNA
Rfam family: 5.8S ribosomal RNA (bases 186-339)
Source: RNAcentral
AAGUCGUAACAAGGUCUCCGUUGGUGAACCAGCGGAGGGAUCAUUACUGAGUACUACACUCUCUACCCUUUGUGAACUAUUAUACCUGUUGCUUCGGCGGCGCCCGCAAGGGUGCCCGCCGGUCUCAUCAGAAUCUCUGUUUUCGAACCCGACGAUACUUCUGAGUGUUCUUAGCGAACUGUCAAAACUUUUAACAACGGAUCUCUUGGCUCCAGCAUCGAUGAAGAACGCAGCGAAACGCGAUAUGUAAUGUGAAUUGCAGAAUUCAGUGAAUCAUCGAAUCUUUGAACGCACAUGGCGCCUUCCAGUAUCCUGGGAGGCAUGCCUGUCCGAGCGUCGUUUCAACCCUCGAGCCCCUGUGGCCCGGCGUUGGGGAUCUGCCGCGGCAGGCCCCUAAAACCAGUGGCGGACCCGAAGGGCCCUCUCCUUUGCGCAGUAGCAUUCGCCUCGCAUCGGGAGUCCUCGGCGUCCUGCCUCUAAACCCCCACAAGCCCGCUUCGGCGGCACCAAGGUUGACCUCGGAUCAGGUAGGAAUACCCGCUGAACUUAA